This is a long non-coding RNA of Macaca nemestrina (pig-tailed macaque), 5073 nucleotides long. NCBI's taxonomy places the organism in Eukaryota, Metazoa, Chordata, Mammalia, Primates, Cercopithecidae. The record is from Ensembl.
GUCUUUGCUUUUCCAGGCACCACAAUAACUGAAAUUUGUGCAUAUUAGAACAAUGCCUUCACUUUACACAGUUCUAAUAUGCACAACAUAAACUGCCUGUAGUUUGGACUUUUUUCCUUGUUUUCCUCAUGGUAUUUUAGUAAGGGGCUAACCCUAACUAAAUUGCCAAAUAAUAAUUUUUGAUUUGAAUUUAUCUUGUUGGUAUUCCACUAUAGACCCGGGAGUCCUUGUCUUAAACCCAGUGUACUCAAUGAUUGAACAGCUGUAUUGUUUUUAAAUUUUUUUUCAUAUCCUAAUAUUUCAUAUUUCUCUGUACUUUCUGUCCCCGAAGGAAUUUCUUGCCAUUUUUUGGUUGGUUUGGGACCUUUCCAGGAUUAUAGAAAGAAUGGAUUUCAAAAACCAAGUUUCUGCUUUUUCUGUUGCAAACAAUGUCCAGGAAGCUAAUGUUUAUAAUAUUUCCCUCUCUUGAUCUUUUCAUUCCUCAGACCUGGGUUAGAUUUGAGGUCAGGACCAUUGUCCUAUUGAGGAAAAGGCUGUUUCUAAGGGUAUCGCCUCUGCCGCCAGCCUCAGCGCUCUGCAACCAGGUCCACAGGUGUUCCCACACCCAUGUUACAAGCUGAAAUGCACAGUGGAUUGAAGCGGGGCUGUCAGUCACGUGGUGUUUGAGGACUCCCAUUGUAAAUCAGGGAUUCUUGCAGCCUGCUUUUUCAGGGACGUUGGCUGCUGUCUUCUGACCCACCCUGUGUGACUUUGGCGUCUCCUGUGACCUCCCAGUAUGGGUCUUGGCUUCAUCCUGCCUCUUUGCCUUUCUGGCCCACCACCGCCAACUUGAAUCUCAGGCUCCAACAGUUGCCUGACCCCCAGACUCUGAUGACAGCCUACCUACUUGUUCUUCAGACCCUGAGCAGACUCACUGCCCAGACACACCAUACACGAGAACAUGAAAGGGUAUUUGAGUUUGGGGCCAUGUCAUAGGAUGCACCUUGAAAUGAGCCACGACAUGUGCAGUCUAAUGGUCUCUGUUGAUCCAUUUGCUGUCUGUGAAACUCCAGAAGUCAGAUCAUUGAACCAUUCUAGAGACUUCAAAUCCAUUGAGAUGGGAUUAAUGCCUUUGCCUGCUCAGACAGAGGACAGAAUGACCAUUGGAAGUGUUCAUCAGUAUUUUCCUGCUCUUAGAUGGAAAGGCCAAGGCCACCCCAAGCAUGCUGAAAUUAGUGGGCCAUUGUCAGGAAGAAGUUCGGAACUACAUAUGGAACCAGAUUGUGUAUUUUCUUCUGGCAUGUCUUCUGAUUUUUUAUAUCGAGUAAUAGGAAACAGGUAAAUUGAGGACUUAUGUUUAUCUGGUUAGGAGUCACGUUGUGUUUAGUGUUGCUCAUAGAUGUAGGUACUAAAUAUUUCAAUCUCUUCUAGCAUCCUUGUUUUUGUUUUACUUCUUGAUUUUGGGUUUUUGUAUACACUGUUGCUUAGGGAAAAUUUUUCUUUUGUAGUUCUUUUUUUUAUUUUUUAUUUUUUUGAGGUGGAGUCUUGCUUUGUCACCCAGGCUGGAGUGCAGUGGUGCAAUCUCGGCUCGCUGCAAGCUCUGCCUCCCCGGUACACGCCAUUUUCCCGUCUCAGCCUCCAAGUAGCUGGGACUACAGGUGCCCACCACCACGCCUGGCUAAUUUUUUGUAUUUUUAGUAGAGACAGGGUUUCACCAUUCACAGGAUGGUCUCGAUCUCCUGACCUCGUGAUCCGCCUGCCUCGGCCUCCCAAAGCGCUGGGAUUACAGGCUUGAGCCACUGCGCCCGGCCCUCUUAUAGUUCUUAGACCUGUAAGCACAGUUAUUUUACUGGACCCUGUUGAUAUGGUGGUUAGGUGUGAGGGAGGUAAAGCGUUGUAUAAUUUUCUGAUUAAGUCUCACCCUUCUAUUACAUCGAUGUUUUGAGGCUGUGGUCUUCACAAGUGUUUCUCCAGUGGUGUAGCUUUUUGUCUCCUCGUCCCUCCUACAUUUCUGGCUGCAAUAUUCCUAAUCUAUUUCUUUGAACUCUAAUCUCUGUGGACUGUUGUGUUUUCCACUGCCUUAGGUGACAUAGGAAAGCUGGAGACAUGAGCUGGAAGAAUUUCUCUUCUCUUUCUGGAAUAAGGCUUCAGAAUUGAGUGCUGGCAAACUUCUUUAUCCUGGUAAGUGGGCUUUUUUUUCUUUUUAAAACAUCUUUCAUAUUUUACCCUGGCUGUUCUUCCACUCUACUUAAAACAGCCAUGAGGACGUAUUUUUCAGAUACAUACAAUGUCAACCUAGCGGAGCGACUGAAGAGAAGGACCACAAAAAUGUGGGAGCUCCUUCUCAAUCUCAUGCUAGUAAACACUUAGCCUCCAGAAAUUCAUCAAAAUCACCAUUUAAGUGUUUGUACCAGUUUAUGUCUCUAGAAGCUUCUGCUCCAAGUAAGUAGAUAUUGGUUGCUAUAUCUUUCUGCAUGUACCUCUCUCCGUAUUUGGGAGUUAGUUGCCCUAUGACCUCAAUUCUCUUGGUGGGUCCAAGAAAAGUCUUUGAUUUUUGGUUUGUUCAGAUUUCCCUUGUAAGGAUGGAGGUGAUGACUUCCAAGCUAUUCACAUGUUCAAGCAGAAACCAUAACUCCCCACAGUAACUAUUUUACCUCUAGUAGAAAAAGGUCCUACUGUGGUUGGCAAAUCCUAAGAAGAUAUCUGUAAUCUGGUGGAUCUGAGUCACUGGGAAGUCAAAAGGAAGUGGAAGUCUAGUAAGUCCCUCUUUUGGAGAAUUACUGGUACCUUGAGGUUGAUGUAUCUCUUUAGGCUUCCUAUUUCAGAUAAAGAACCUACUGAAACAAUAUAGUUUUCCAGAAUAAGGGAAAAAAAAGAUGGGGAAAAAAGAGGGAGAAAAACCCUGUUUUUCACUGUAGAAACUGAAUAUGGCAAUUCUGACUUCUGGAUUAUGAAACCGCUUGCCCUCCCUUUCCCAACUUCUAAAACUCCUCUCCACAUGGAAUUUCCUGGUGUUGUGAAUGUCCACAAUCUUGGUAUUGCAAAAAUCCAAUAUAAUAAUGAUGAUGAUGAUAAUAAUAAUAAUAAUACAAACAUAAGAAACCAGCACCUGUGUAAAGUUAUUAUAUGAAAGUGUAAAUUAGUAUCAAAACCUUUAGCAUAUUAAAUGUUGCCAAAAAGUCAUGAAAAUGAAGAACAUUGUAACAAAUACAUUUAUGAAUUAAAUAUCAUUAAAUGAGCAAUUGCAUAUGUGACAGGGUACCAUGACUCAGAGUAGAAAAAAAUCAAAAACAGGGAGGUAUAAAAUAGAAGUUGGUAGAACUCAGAAAGGAAAUGGAAGAAAAAGACAAAAACUAUUUAAGAAUAAAAGAUAAAUUAUGAGGAACUCAAGGAUGAAUAGAUGCAAUGGAGAGGGCAAUGGAGAGACAAAGAUAAAUGUAAAACUGAAAUGUGGAAGAGGCUAAAAGAAUUAGAUAGACUACUUGUUCUUUCCUUGAUGGAGUGAUAGUUAUAGGGUUAAUCUCUUGCUAUAAACAAUUAUAAAACUGGAUUAAAUAUUUGAAGCAACUGGUUUCAGAUAUUGAACAAUAGGCAGUGCAAAGCUUUGAUCCUUGAGCAAAUGGAAAUAGUCAAGGAGAGCUCAACAUUCACCCUGGAUUUCUGGCUGGUACUUGUUCCAGACAAUUGCACAGGAAAUUGGAACAAGCAGAAAGUAACUGUCCUUCUGGGUAGAAGAAACAGAGAUCAGAGUUUGGGGAUGCUGCAAGGCUGAAAUGUACAGAGUAUGGCACUGGAGAAAACUAUAUUCAGAGAAGGUAUUUUAUAAAUCUGUAUAGGUACCCCUUAACUCUUGGCUUAAUACUAAACUAUACUGGCACCGCAUGCAAUUUCUUCAGUUGUGGCAGAGAAAUGCUACAGGGUCACCACAAGCUGAACUAGUAUUUUAGAUAUCAUUCAGUUUUGAGAGCUGUUGAAUUUCUGAUCAGACAGCUUUGGGCAUCUCAGCCACGCAUUUAGCUGAGAUGCCAAAAACUCUGUCUUUGAGUAGGGUUACACCUUAUUUUAGAAUACGGGUUACUCUGGACCUGUGCUAAGAAGUCCUAACAAUAAGCCAUGGCAAGAUCAAGCUUAUCUUCCAGUCAAUUACCUGUCAGAAUAAACUUUAACAUUCUUUAAUGGAACACACAAAAAGUAGGCUCUCAACUAUAUAACAUAUACAAUUUAGUAUACAAAGAAAAAUUACUAGAUAUGGGAAGAAAUAAGAAAAUGUUAGCUACAACCAGAAGAAAAACCUGACAAACAGGAAAAGGAUGGGAUAGAAGAUAUGUUGGAGUUAGCAGGCAAGGACUUUUUAAAAAGUUAUAGUAUGCCUGAAAUUUAAAGAAAAAGAUAACACAAUGAGCAAACAGAUUGGGGAAUAUUGAUGACAUUAACAGCAGAUUGGAUUACGCAGAAAAAAAUCAAUGGACUUAAAGAAGUAGCAACAAAAACUAUAAAGCAUAGCAUACAGAGAGAAACUUGCUGAAAAAAAUAUGAGAGAGUGCAUUGGUGACCCAUGGGACAAUAAUAAGCUGUUUAAUAGGGUUGUACUUUGUGUCCAGGAAGAAUAGGGGAGACAUUGGGACAAAAAGAAUUUGAAGAGGUAAUGGCCAAGAAUUUUCCAAAUUUGAUGAAAAAGAGCAACUCACAAGACCGAGAGGUUCGACAAACACCAAGAAGGAUAAACUCUAAGAAAACCAUCUCUAGUCAUAAAAUAAUAAAAAUGCUAAAAACCAUAAAUACAGAGAAGAUUUUAAUUCUUAUGAAUUACUUUUAGUACUUUCAUAGUCCAUUUAGUGUUGCUAAGGAACACUUAAGGCUGAGUAAUUUAUUAAAAAAUGAGGCUGGCCGGGCGCGGUGGCUCACACCUGUAAUCCUGGCACUUUGGGAGGCCGAGGCAGGCAGAUGACUAGGUCAGGAGAUCAAGACCAUCCUGGCAAACAUGGUAAAAUCCCGUUUCUACUAAAAAUACAAAAAAAUUAGCUGGGUGUGGUGGUGGGUGCCUGUAGUCCCAGCUACUUGGGAGGCUGAGGCAGGAGAAUGGCAUGAACCCCA